AACGCUAGCUACAGGCUUAACACAUGCAAGUCGAGGGGCAGCAUGAAGUUUGCUUGCAAACUUUGAUGGCGACCGGCGCACGGGUGAGUAACGCGUAUCCAACCUGCCCCGUACUCGGGUAUAGCCCAGCGAAAGCUGGAUUAAUCCCCGAUGUCACCUUUAUGGUGCAUGCCAUAUUGGUUAAAGUUGUUCGGUACGGGAUGGGGAUGCGUCUGAUUAGGUAGUAGGCGGGGUAACGGCCCACCUAGCCGACGAUCAGUAGGGGUUCUGAGAGGAAGGUCCCCCACACUGGAACUGAGACACGGUCCAGACUCCUACGGGAGGCAGCAGUGAGGAAUAUUGGUCAAUGGGCGCGAGCCUGAACCAGCCAAGUAGCGUGCAGGAUGACGGCCCUACGGGUUGUAAACUGCUUUUAUGCGGGAAUAAAGAUAUCUACGUGUAGAUAGUUGCAUGUACCGCAUGAAUAAGGACCGGCUAAUUCCGUGCCAGCAGCCGCGGUAAUACGGAAGGUCCGGGCGUUAUCCGGAUUUAUUGGGUUUAAAGGGAGCGUAGGCGGCCUUUUAAGCGUGCUGUGAAAUGUACCGGCUCAACCGGUGAAUUGCAGCGCGAACUGGAGGGCUUGAGUUCGCGGAAGGCAGGCGGAAUUCGUGGUGUAGCGGUGAAAUGCUUAGAUAUCACGAAGAACUCCGAUUG
RNAcentral lists this ribosomal RNA (693 nucleotides) under uncultured bacterium. Its description in RNAcentral is "bacterial SSU rRNA". It matches the Rfam family "Bacterial small subunit ribosomal RNA", at positions 32 to 715 of the family's 1533-position model. The record is from RNAcentral.